This 742-nucleotide ribosomal RNA is filed under the name Streptomyces glomeratus. Its description in RNAcentral is "bacterial SSU rRNA". It matches the Rfam family "Bacterial small subunit ribosomal RNA", at positions 28 to 785 of the family's 1533-position model. Lineage: Bacteria; Bacillati; Actinomycetota; Actinomycetes; Kitasatosporales; Streptomycetaceae. The record is from RNAcentral.
GACGAACGCUGGCGGCGUGCUUAACACAUGCAAGUCGAACGAUGAACCUCCUUCGGGAGGGGAUUAGUGGCGAACGGGUGAGUAACACGUGGGCAAUCUGCCCUGCACUCUGGGACAAGCCCUGGAAACGGGGUCUAAUACCGGAUACGAGCCUGGGAGGCAUCUCCCGGGUUGGAAAGCUCCGGCGGUGCAGGAUGAGCCCGCGGCCUAUCAGCUUGUUGGUGAGGUAACGGCUCACCAAGGCGACGACGGGUAGCCGGCCUGAGAGGGCGACCGGCCACACUGGGACUGAGACACGGCCCAGACUCCUACGGGAGGCAGCAGUGGGGAAUAUUGCACAAUGGGCGAAAGCCUGAUGCAGCGACGCCGCGUGAGGGAUGACGGCCUUCGGGUUGUAAACCUCUUUCAGCAGGGAAGAAGCGAAAGUGACGGUACCUGCAGAAGAAGCGCCGGCUAACUACGUGCCAGCAGCCGCGGUAAUACGUAGGGCGCAAGCGUUGUCCGGAAUUAUUGGGCGUAAAGAGCUCGUAGGCGGCUUGUCACGUCGGUUGUGAAAGCCCGGGGCUUAACCCCGGGUCUGCAGUCGAUACGGGCAGGCUAGAGUUCGGUAGGGGAGAUCGGAAUUCCUGGUGUAGCGGUGAAAUGCGCAGAUAUCAGGAGGAACACCGGUGGCGAAGGCGGAUCUCUGGGCCGAUACUGACGCUGAGGAGCGAAAGCGUGGGGAGCGAACAGGAUUAGAUAC